RNAcentral lists this long non-coding RNA (242 nucleotides) under Ananas comosus (pineapple). RNAcentral describes it as "long non-coding RNA (ACOM_LNC009992)". Lineage: Eukaryota; Viridiplantae; Streptophyta; Magnoliopsida; Poales; Bromeliaceae. The record is from RNAcentral.
ACGGAUGACGGCGACGACGGCGGUGAUCAGAGGGCGUCGCGCGCGCACGGACAAAACAGUGGAGGUCGUACGGACGUGGAGGGGAGAGGGAUCGAGCGGGAGAGAGGUGAUCGGGUUGGGGGUGUUCGUCCGGAAUGAAAAGAAAAAGACCUAAUUAAAUUAGGGAUUAAUUAGACAACAAUAUGCUGCCGAGUCCCUCAAAGAUUUGAAAUAACGAAAAGGUCUAAACUUAAUAGGAUGGU